GAAGGUCUUAGUGUCAUUGUAUUGGCUCGGGGUGAGGGUUCUAAACAGGAAGGUCUUAGUGUCAUUGUAUUGGCUCGGGGUGAGUGUUCUAAACAGGAAGGUCUUAGUAUCAUUGUAUUGGCUCGGGGUGAGGGUUCUAAGCAGGAAGGUCUUUGUAUCAUUGUAUUGGCUCGGGGUGAGGGUUCUAAACAGGAAGGUCUUUGUGUCAUUGUAUUGGCUUGGGGUGAGGGUUCUAAACAGGAAGGUCUUUGUAUCAUUGUAUUGGCUCGGGGUGAGUGUUCUAAACAGGAAGGUCUUAGUAUCAUUGUAUUGGCUCGGGGUGAGGGUUCUAAGCAGGAAGGUCUUUGUAUCAUUGUAUUGGCUCGGGGUGAGGGUUCUAAACAGGAAGGUCUUUGUGUCAUUGUAUUGGCUUGGGGUGAGUGUUCUAAACAGGAAGGUCUUUGUAUCAUUGUAUUGGCUCGGGGUGAGUGUUCUAAACAGGAAGGUCUUAGUAUCAUUGUAUUGGCUCGGGGUGAGGGUUCUAAGCAGGAAGGUCUUUGUAUCAUUGUAUUGGCUCGGGGUGAGGGUUCUAAACAGGAAGGUCUUUGUGUCAUUGUAUUGGCUUGGGGUGAGGGUUCUAAACAGGAAGGUCUUUGUAUCAUUGUAUUGGCUCGGGGUGAGGGUUCUAAACAGGAAGGUCUUAGUGUCAUUGUAUUGGCUCGGGGUGAGUGUUCUAAACAGGAAGGUCUUUGUAUCAUUGUAUUGGCUCGGGGUGAGUGUUCUAAACAGGAAGGUCUUAGUGUCAUUGUAUUGGCUCGGGGUGAGGGUUCUAAACAGGAAG
RNAcentral lists this long non-coding RNA (820 nucleotides) under Salmo salar (Atlantic salmon). Its description in RNAcentral is "lncRNA (ENSSSAG00000098145.1)". The record is from RNAcentral. Lineage: Eukaryota; Metazoa; Chordata; Actinopteri; Salmoniformes; Salmonidae.